Molecule: ribosomal RNA, 551 nt
Filed under: uncultured bacterium
Lineage: Bacteria
Description: bacterial SSU rRNA
Rfam family: Bacterial small subunit ribosomal RNA
Source: RNAcentral
GGUAGCAAACGGGAUUAGAGACCCCGGUAGUCCUAGCCCUAAACGAUGUAGACUUGGCGUCGGUGGUUUAAUCGCCAUCGGUGUCGUAGCUAACGCGAUAAGUCUACCGCCUGGGGACUACGGCCGCAAGGUUAAAACUCAAAGGAAUUGACGGGUCCCCGCACAAGCAGCGGAGCGUGUGGUUUAAUUCGAUGCUACACGAAGAACCUUACCUGGGUUUGACAUAGAGGUAGUAGGGAAGCGAAAGUGGACCGACCCUUCGGGGAGCCUCUACAGGUGUUGCAUGGCUGUCGUCAGCUCGUGUCGUGAGAUGUUCGGUUAAGUCCGCUAACGAGCGCAACCCUCGCUGUGUGUUACAAGUGUCACACGGUACUGCCGAUAUUAAGUCGGAGGAAGGUGGGGAUGACGUCAAGUCAGCAUGACCUUUAUAUCCAGGGCUACACACACGCUACAAUGGCCAGUACAAUGGGUUGCCAAGCCGCGAGGCGGAGCCAAUCCUAAAAAGCUGGCCUCAGUUCAGAUUGCAGUCUGCAACUCGACUGCAUGAAGUG